ACUUUCAGCGACGGAUGUCUUGGCUCCCACAACGAUGAAGAACGCAGCGAAAUGCGAUACGUCUUGCGACUUGCAGAAUCCAGUGAAUCAUCAAAACUUUGAACGCAUCUUGCGCUUCCGGGAUAUGCCUGGGAGCAUGCUUGUCGGAGUGUC
This 153-nucleotide ribosomal RNA is filed under the name Saccorhiza dermatodea. RNAcentral describes it as "5.8S ribosomal RNA". It matches the Rfam family "5.8S ribosomal RNA". From Rfam's summary of the family: 5.8S ribosomal RNA (5.8S rRNA) is a component of the large subunit of the eukaryotic ribosome. It is transcribed by RNA polymerase I as part of the 45S precursor that also contains 18S and 28S rRNA. Lineage: Eukaryota; Phaeophyceae; Tilopteridales; Phyllariaceae. The record is from RNAcentral.